GAUGAACGCUAGCUACAGGCUUAACACAUGCAAGUCGAGGGGCAGCAUUUUAGUUUUGCUUGCAAACUGAAGAUGGCGACCGGCGCACGGGUGAGUAACACGUAUCCAACCUGCCGAUAACUCCGGGAUAGCCUUUCGAAAGAAAGAUUAAUACCGGAUAGUAUACGAAUAUCGCAUGAUAUUUUUAUUAAAGAAUUUCGGUUAUCGAUGGGGAUGCGUUCCAUUAGUUUGUUGGCGGGGUAACGGCCCACCAAGACUACGAUGGAUAGGGGUUCUGAGAGGAAGGUCCCCCACAUUGGAACUGAGACACGGUCCAAACUCCUACGGGAGGCAGCAGUGAGGAAUAUUGGUCAAUGGGCGCGAGCCUGAACCAGCCAAGUAGCGUGAAGGAUGAAGGCUCUAUGGGUCGUAAACUUCUUUUAUAUGGGAAUAAAGUUUUCCGCGUGUGGAAUUUUGUAUGUACCAUAUGAAUAAGGAUCGGCUAACUCCGUGCCAGCAGCCGCGGUAAUACGGAGGAUCCGAGCGUUAUCCGGAUUUAUUGGGUUUAAAGGGAGCGUAGGUGGAUUGUUAAGUCAGUUGUGAAAGUUUGCGGCUCAACCGUAAAAUUGCAGUUGAAACUGGCAGUCUUGAGUACAGUAGAGGUGGGCGGAAUUCGUGGUGUAGCGGUGAAAUGCUUAGAUAUCACGAAGAACUCCGAUUGCGAAGGCAGCUCACUAGACUGUCACUGACACUGAUGCUCGAAAGUGUGGGUAUCAAACAGGAUUAGAUACCCUGGUAGUCCACACAGUAAACGAUGAAUACUCGCUGUUUGCGAUAUACAGUAAGCGGCCAAGCGAAAGCAUUAAGUAUUCCACCUGGGGAGUACGCCGGCAACGGUGAAACUCAAAGGAAUUGACGGGGGCCCGCACAAGCGGAGGAACAUGUGGUUUAAUUCGAUGAUACGCGAGGAACCUUACCCGGGCUUAAAUUGCAACAGAAUAUAUUGGAAACAGUAUAGCCGUAAGGCUGUUGUGAAGGUGCUGCAUGGUUGUCGUCAGCUCGUGCCGUGAGGUGUCGGCUUAAGUGCCAUAACGAGCGCAACCCUUAUCUUUAGUUACUAACAGGUUAUGCUGAGGACUCUAGAGAGACUGCCGUCGUAAGAUGUGAGGAAGGUGGGGAUGACGUCAAAUCAGCACGGCCCUUACGUCCGGGGCUACACACGUGUUACAAUGGGGGGUACAGAAGGCGGCUACCUGGUGACAGGAUGCUAAUCCCAAAAACCUCUCUCAGUUCGGAUCGAAGUCUGCAACCCGACUUCGUGAAGCUGGAUUCGCUAGUAAUCGCGCAUCAGCCAUGGCGCGGUGAAUACGUUCCCGGGCCU
RNAcentral lists this ribosomal RNA (1360 nucleotides) under uncultured bacterium. Its description in RNAcentral is "bacterial SSU rRNA". It matches the Rfam family "Bacterial small subunit ribosomal RNA", at positions 28 to 1381 of the family's 1533-position model. The record is from RNAcentral.